Molecule: long non-coding RNA, 890 nt
Filed under: Phoenix dactylifera (date palm)
Lineage: Eukaryota; Viridiplantae; Streptophyta; Magnoliopsida; Arecales; Arecaceae
Description: long non-coding RNA (PDAC_LNC004968)
Source: RNAcentral
CUUGUGUGGAGACACUAAUACAAAGAUGUGGGUGCUCAUUAGAAGAAUGAGUUCACUGAAUUGACCUACAAAGAGAAAUCUUAUGAAGUCUUACUUACAUGUCAAAAGAUGAUUCUCUUAGUGGGAGUUGUGCAACUGAUCCUAUGACCUGAGAUCACCAUGGUAUCUUGUGCACAUGAACCCAUGUUUUGGUUUACACUCAUUCAUGACAAUAAGUUGUGUACGAAGUCUUCUGGAUAUGGUGAAUUGUGUACGAAGAUUAUGAGUAGGUCAACAAGAAAUUAAUCACUUCUAGUAAGAGAAGAUAGCAUCCUAUUUAUUCUAAUCAUAUGAUAAUUCAGGAAGCCUUUGAUCAAAGCAGAAUGAAAAUUAGAAAGAGUUUCUAAUGUUUCAUUAUUUGAAUUAUCAUUAAAAGAUUGAGAAAGAUAUGAAUAUGAAAUUGAGUUUGACAUAUAUUCAUACUCAUAUACAUAUUCGGGAUGCAGUUUGAUUAAAGGAUUGAAUUGCACGGUAACUUGCCACUGAAGGGUAUUUUUGGUAUUUCCACCAAAUUUUAAAUUUUUCGGGUAGACAUGACACGUUGCUAGACGUCAAUCUUGUCUUAUAGGUUUGAUCGAAUUAAAGAGUUUAAUUCAAUCACCAAUUAGAAAGGAUUCUAAUUGUUAAGUUCGGGUUCGCGCAGUUUGGACUUAAAUCGAUUAGAAGAGUUCUAAUCAAGUUGGGUCAACUCGCACUCACACCUAUUGCUGGCUAAGUAUGGAACCCAAUGGAUCACACACAAGAAAACUUAUCAAGGGUCUAAUUGGAUUAGAUCAUGUUUGCAAGAUAAACAUCCUAGCAGGUGUUGCAAACCCUUAGCUCCUGAUUCGAAUUGGAUUCGAAUCUGAUUC